RNAcentral lists this ribosomal RNA (932 nucleotides) under uncultured bacterium. RNAcentral's name for it is "bacterial SSU rRNA". It matches the Rfam family "Bacterial small subunit ribosomal RNA", at positions 1 to 924 of the family's 1533-position model. The record is from RNAcentral.
GCCCUUAGAGUUUGAUCCUGGCUCAGAUUGAACGCUGGCGGCGUGCCUAACACAUGCAAGUCGAGCGGUAACGCGGGAGCAAUCCUGGCGACGAGCGGCGAACGGGUGAGUAAUGCUUCGGAAUCUACCCACGGGUGGGGAAUAACCAACCGAAAGGUUGGCUAAUACCGCAUGAGCCCUUCGGGGGAAAGCGGGGGAUCGUAAGACCUCGCGCCGGUGGAUGAGCCGAAGCCGGAUUAGCUAGUUGGUAGGGUAAUGGCCUACCAAGGCGACGAUCCGUAGCUGGUCUGAGAGGACGACCAGCCACACUGGGACUGAGACACGGCCCAGAUUCUUACGGGAGGCAGCAGUGGGAGAAUCUUGGACAAUGGGGGAAACCCUGAUCCAGCGACGCCGCGUGUGUGAAAGAAGGCCUGCGGGUUGUAAAGCACUUUUAGUGGGGAUGAAAAGUGCAGAGCUAACACCUCUGCAUCUUGACCUAACCCACAGAAAAAGCACCGGCUAACUCUGUGCCAGCAGCCGCGGUAAUACAGAGGGUGCAAGCGUUAAUCGGAAUUACUGGGCGUAAAGCGUGCGUAGACGGUUAUGUAAGUCGGAUGUGAAAGCCCCGAGCUCAACUUGGGAAUUUGCAUUCGAGACUGCAUAGCUAGGGUGCGGGAGAAGGGAAGCGGAAUUUCCGGUGUAGCGGUGAAAUGCGUAGAUAUCGGAAAGGAACACCAGUGGCGAAAGCGGCUUCCUGGUCCGACACCGACGUUCAGGCACGAAAGCGUGGGGAGCAAACAGGAUUAGAUACCCUGGUAGUCCACGCCAUAAACGAUGAGAACUAGACGUUGAAGGGGUAAGCCUUUCAGUGUCGAAGCUAACGCGAUAAGUUCUCCGCCUGGGGAGUACGGCCGCAAGGUUGAAACUCAAAUGAAUUGACGGGGAAGGGC